This 429-nucleotide ribosomal RNA is filed under the name Actinomycetes bacterium. RNAcentral describes it as "Actinobacteria bacterium partial 16S ribosomal RNA". It matches the Rfam family "Bacterial small subunit ribosomal RNA", at positions 355 to 776 of the family's 1533-position model. Lineage: Bacteria; Bacillati; Actinomycetota; Actinomycetes. The record is from RNAcentral.
UAGGGAAUCUUCCGCAAUGGGCGAAAGCCUGACGGAGCAACGCCGCGUGAGUGAUGAAGGUCUUCGGAUCGUAAAACUCUGUUAUUAGGGAAGAACAAAUGUGUAAGUAACUAUGCACGUCUUGACGGUACCUAAUCAGAAAGCCACGGCUAACUACGUGCCAUCAGCCGCGGUAAUACGUAGGUGGCAAGCGUUAUCCGGAAUUAUUGGGCGUAAAGCGCGCGUAGGCGGUUUUUUAAGUCUGAUGUGAAAGCCCACGGCUCAACCGUGGAGGGUCAUUGGAAACUGGAAAACUUGAGUGCAGAAGAGGAAAGUGGAAUUCCAUGUGUAGCGGUGAAGUGCACAGAGAUAUGGAGGAACACCAGUGGCGAAGGCGACUUUCUGGUCUGUAACUGACGCUGAUGUGCGAAAGCGUGGGGAUCAAACAGG